GGAGGACGAACGCUUCGCUUAUAAAAAAACCCCUAAAUUCCUAUCGUUAGUCUUAUGAAGCUGCUCUAAACAAAACAACAAGCAAACAACUCGCCGGCGCGCGUUCCGCCGAUGCAGACAGAAGAGGAUGGUCGCGAACAGGACGAUGCAGCCGGCCACCGCGGCCGAGAUCUUCAUCCAGGCCGAUUUGGCUUCCGUGUCGAGCUGGCGGGAGUUGCGUAUCUCCAUGCACUGGUGGUAGUCGGCCACCUGGUCCGGCUCGAUGUCGCGUUUCGCUUCGGCAUUGCACAGGUUUUGCUCUGCUUUUUGGAAGGUUUUAGCGGAGUGGAUAAGAGGCUCUCUCUCUCUCUCUCCCGUGUUGUCCCUCUCAACACGUGCAAUCACAUCAGCUGAUGAAAUUUCACACCUGCCAACCGUGCGCGCGUGCGUUUUGUGCAAUGAAGCAUACAAUAACGUCACUGUAAGGAGCGGAACAAUAACGUUUGGAAGACGGUACGGGGUUUUUUUUCUACCUAAGAUCACAAGAUCCCCGCGCGUUAGAAUGACUCUUCAACGGGGCUUCUCUUAUCACUGCACAAACACACUAUCAUCCCUUACCUC
Long non-coding RNA from Anopheles merus, 600 nucleotides. RefSeq lists it as uncharacterized. The record is from RefSeq and is a predicted model, not a curated record. The transcript has 4 exons. NCBI's taxonomy places the organism in Eukaryota, Metazoa, Arthropoda, Insecta, Diptera, Culicidae.